This 339-nucleotide unclassified non-coding RNA is filed under the name soil metagenome. RNAcentral's name for it is "partial contains 5.8S ribosomal RNA, internal transcribed spacer 2, and large subunit ribosomal RNA". The stretch from base 1 to 120 matches the Rfam family "5.8S ribosomal RNA", at positions 35 to 154 of the family's 154-position model. The record is from RNAcentral.
GAUGAAGAACGUAGCGAAAUGCGAUAAGUAGUGUGAAUUGCAGAAUUCAGUGAAUCAUCGAAUCUUUGAACGCACAUUGCGCCCCUUGGUAUUCCAUGGGGCAUGCCUGUUCGAGCGUCAUUUGUACCUUCAAGCUUUGCUUGGUGUUGGGUGACUGUCCGCCGCCUCCGGGCGGUCGGACUCGCCUCAAAUUGAUUGGCGGCCGGUACUUUGGCUUCGAGCGCAGCAGAAACGCGAACUCGAGGCCGUCGUCCUGGCUCCCAGAAGCUAUCUUCACAAUUUUGACCUCGGAUCAGGUAGGGAUACCCGCUGAACUUAAGCAUAUCAAUAAGCGGAGGA